AAAUGCAAAUCUAUUAUCAUUCCAGCUGAAGAUGUAACCUGGCCAGGGAAUGACCUGAACCAAAGUUAAUAAUUGUUAAUUAAUAUAAAUCAAUGCAAUAGCCAUGUGAAGUGAUGUUAUUUCUUAUGUUUUAGUUUUUUCCUGGAAAAACUCUCCAAAUACUGACAUGAAAGGCGUCAUAUAUGACAAGAAGGACAACAGUUUACAGGUGCAGCGAGGGGGCUACUGGGUCGUGUAUUGCCAACUGCGUUUAAACGUUCCAACGGAUGUUCCAGAUGGCGAUUUUUUUUGCAACAUCCAAAAAAAGGAGGGAAACGAUUGGGGUGUCAUCAGACUGAGUUUAUAAAUACUGGAGAGAUUAUACCUUUAUCUGUGACGAAAAGACUACCUAUCUGGGGACCGCAGUCGGCAUUCCAAAUCAACGUCAACAUAUAAAAACUGAAAGAAUGCAUGUACAUGUAGCAAACGGCUAAAGAGAGGUCAAGUUAACAAAUGUUUUCGCAAAAAUUCUCUCUAAAAUAACCAUGUGUGGUCAGAAAUAAAUGUGAUGGAUACUUGUAUAAUUAACCGUCAUAUAAUGAUACUGAGAUAUAUAAAUAUGUAAUACACGUGUAUAUUUGACUGUCAUAUCAUGAAAUUGGAAAGUUACAAUAGCAAUGUUUAAUGGUUCUCAGUUUACAAUAAUAUUCAUUUAAUUCAUGUUUGUGAUUCAUUACAUAUUUGGCCGUUUUAUAUUAUCAAUAUUCGAUAAAUGUAUACUACAUUUCAUAUGACACAGUGGUUUGUCAUCAAUGAUUGAUUAUAAAUUCAUUUAAUUUUUUUAAUGUUUCUUCUUUUAGUUUUUUUUUUUAAGUUGAUUAAGCUGUUGGGAAUUUUAGAAAAUAAUUAUAUUGCCCAGUAGCUAGUUUGAUUUAUUCUUUAUCUUUCAAGGAACGCUCCAGGCUUUCGUAGAUUGCAUAUGGAUAUGCACAAUAUAUGUAUCGUAAUUAUACCAAUGCCGCCUCUUUUGAACAUUUAUAUUAUAUUAUAUUAUAUUCAUCUCGCUAUAAAAAUGUCAUCUCUCUGUAUAAAUAGUAUUUGAGAGAAACGUGUAAAGUAGAGAAAUAAAAUAAUUUUAUCAAACA
Long non-coding RNA from Lingula anatina, 1124 nucleotides. Lineage: Eukaryota; Metazoa; Brachiopoda; Lingulata; Lingulida; Lingulidae. The record is from RefSeq and is a predicted model, not a curated record.